UACGUAGGGUGCGAGCGUUAAUCGGAAUUACUGGGCGUAAAGCGUGCGUAGGCGGUCCGCUGUGUCCCGUGUGAAAGCCCCGGGCUCAACCUGGGAAUUGCAUGGGAAACUGGCGGACUCGAGUCCCGGAGAGGAAGGUGGAAUUCCUGGUGUAGCGGUGAAAUGCGUAGAUAUCAGGAGGAAUACCGGUGGCGAAGGCGGCCUUCUGGACGGUGACUGACGCUGAGACGCGAAAGCGUGGGGAGCAAACAGG
This 253-nucleotide ribosomal RNA is filed under the name uncultured bacterium. Its description in RNAcentral is "partial 16S ribosomal RNA". It matches the Rfam family "Bacterial small subunit ribosomal RNA", at positions 524 to 776 of the family's 1533-position model. The record is from RNAcentral.